CCCGGUUUUUUUUUUUAGCACGAGUCUGCAGGAAGUUCAAAGAUGAAAAACCCUUCUCCUCCCACUAUAUCUUGGUUAGAUUCAAUCAAACUUUUAUCAUUUUAGUCCUAUACGAAAUUGAUAUGAACUGCAGCCGAUUAAAUUAUAUACAGAGUUAUCCAGCAUAUUAUUAUAUUUUAAUAAUAUUCGGAAUAAAUUAUUAGUCCAAAUAUACUAUUAUUGGUAAACAUAAU
Molecule: non-coding RNA, 233 nt
Organism: Cinara cedri
Lineage: Eukaryota; Metazoa; Arthropoda; Insecta; Hemiptera; Aphididae
Source: the annotation of a GenBank genome assembly